RNAcentral lists this ribosomal RNA (743 nucleotides) under Austrochloritis disjuncta. RNAcentral describes it as "partial large subunit ribosomal RNA". The stretch from base 346 to 500 matches the Rfam family "Archaeal large subunit ribosomal RNA", at positions 1885 to 2088 of the family's 2987-position model. Lineage: Eukaryota; Metazoa; Mollusca; Gastropoda; Stylommatophora; Camaenidae. The record is from RNAcentral.
AAUUAUUUUACACGAAGUCGGGGGAGCUAGUUACUAUAUUUUGUAGAAUUAAAAGUGUAACAAAACCUGAAUUAAUAGUGACUAGGAGUGAUAGGCUUACCACACCCGACGAUAUCUUGAUGAUUUAGAAACGUAUUAGUACGAAGACACUCUUAAAGUGAUAAGGUUUUAAGAGAAAACAAAUUUUCUGGAAAAUGCUGUAUCUUGCUUAAUCGUUAAUAUUUAUAGAAAAUAAUAUAAAUUUAAAAGCAAUUGUUUAGUUUAUAAAUCUAUAAUUAAAUAUUUGACAAAUAAUUAAUGUUAAUAUUAGUAACAAAGGUAUUAAUAGUGAACUCGGCAAUAAGUCUUUCAACUGUUUACCAAAAACAUAGCUGUAUGUAUUUAUAUACAGUCAUUUCUGCUCAAUGAACAUUUAAAUAGCCGCAGUACCCUGACUGUGCUAAGGUAGCGCAAUCAAUUGACUUUUAAAUGAAGUCCUGUAUGAAAGAAAACAUGAAGGGCUACUUUCUUAUUAAUAAUUGAUGAAUUUACUUAUAAAGUGCAAAUUCUUUAAAAUAAAUAAAAGACGAGAAGACCCUAGAAAUUUUGAGUUGAGACUUUUUGUUGGGGCAACAAAGUAGCAAGUUAAUCUACUAUUAUAACCAGGAAAAAUAUUAAGAAAGAUAAAAUUACUCUAGGGAUAACAGCAUAAUUUGAAAAAGUUUGUGACCUCGAUGUUGGAUUAGGGAAUUUACGUUUAGAAG